This 756-nucleotide ribosomal RNA is filed under the name Cladosporium flabelliforme. Its description in RNAcentral is "partial 18S ribosomal RNA". The stretch from base 426 to 579 matches the Rfam family "5.8S ribosomal RNA". Lineage: Eukaryota; Fungi; Ascomycota; Dothideomycetes; Cladosporiales; Cladosporiaceae. The record is from RNAcentral.
CCUGUGAAGGAAAAGUCGUAACAAAGGUUUUAUAGGUAACCCCGCAAGAUGGAUAUUGGAAAAAAAACCUUUUUUUCUAGGGUGUGGGAUGGCAACUGUCCCAACAAAACUGGGGGCGACCUUUUUAAACAGGGGUGAUUUUUGGAAGUAAAAAGUCGUAACAAGGUCUCCGUUGGUGAACCAGCGGAGGGAUCAUUACCGAGUUUCCAACUCUUGGAAGUAAAAGUCGUAACAAGGUCUCCGUAGGUGAGCCGGGGGAUGGGAUCAUUACAGGGGAGCCGGUUUUUACCACGGGGAUGUUCAUAGCCCUUUGUUGUAUGUCUUUGUGGCCUCCGGGGCGACCCUUCCUUCAGGCGGGGGGUCCGGGUGGACCCUUCAAAAUGCGGUGUAACAUUGCAGUAUGAGUAAAUUAAUUAAUAAAUUAAAACUUUGCACAAAGGAUGUAUUGGGUCUAGCAUCGAUGAAGAACGCAAUGAAAUGAGAUAAGUAAUCAGAAUAGCAGAAUUCAGUGAAUCAUCGAAUCAGUGAUCUCGCAUUGCUCCCCCUCCGAGUCCCGGGGGCAUGCUUGUACGAGUGUCAGUUCUCCACUCAAGCCUCGCUUGGUACUGGGCAACGCGGUCCGCUCGCGUGCCUCAAAUCGACCGGCUGGGUCUUCUGUCCCCUAAGCGUUGUGGAAACUAUUCGCUAAAGGGUGUUCGGGAGGACACGCCGUAAACCAACCCCAUCUGAAAGGUGACCUCGAUCACGUGAAAACAG